Molecule: small RNA, 356 nt
Filed under: Histoplasma capsulatum var. duboisii H88
Lineage: Eukaryota; Fungi; Ascomycota; Eurotiomycetes; Onygenales; Ajellomycetaceae
Description: Histoplasma capsulatum H88 hypothetical RNA
Source: RNAcentral
AGCAUAUACAGAAACAGGAUAGUAAAUUACAUAUGUACUGUACGUGGGCAAUAGUAGGUUGUUAGGCCUGACGAGCGAGGUUUUCCUUGCGGUCCAGCUCAGAUGGGCCAGCUUUAUUUAUACUAAGAGAUACUGUAUAGCGACCUCCAGGUGGACAUUUCGGCUAUAUCGAAAUUAGUCGGUGGGGAAGGGGGGGAAAGGGUCGGAGUGCGCCUGCUUUUGGCGGAAUAUUCGAAGAUUGCAUGCAACCUUUUAUCCCAUCCUCUCGCCGGUCUGCUGUGAAACAUCUAUCCCGAAAUAUUGCAGGCUGUGAAGGAAGAAGAACCCAUCCCCUGCUAUACUUCAUUGUUCGGCGC